UACAGAUCUAUUUAGUGUGUUUUAAUGGC
RNAcentral lists this non-coding RNA (29 nucleotides) under Rattus norvegicus (Norway rat). The record is from RNAcentral. Lineage: Eukaryota; Metazoa; Chordata; Mammalia; Rodentia; Muridae.